RNAcentral lists this unclassified non-coding RNA (329 nucleotides) under soil metagenome. Its description in RNAcentral is "partial contains 5.8S ribosomal RNA, internal transcribed spacer 2, and large subunit ribosomal RNA". The stretch from base 1 to 120 matches the Rfam family "5.8S ribosomal RNA", at positions 35 to 154 of the family's 154-position model. The record is from RNAcentral.
GAUGAAGAACGUAGCGAAAUGCGAUAAGUAAUGUGAAUUGCAGAAUUCAGUGAAUCAUCGAAUCUUUGAACGCACAUUGCGCCCUCUGGUAUUCCGGGGGGCAUGCCUGUUCGAGCGUCAUUAUAACCACUCAAGCUCUCGCUUGGUAUUGGGGUUCGCGGUUUCGCGGCCCCUAAAAUCAGUGGCGGUGCCUGUCGGCUCUACGCGUAGUAAUACUUCUCGCGAUUGAGUUCGAUAGGUCUACUUGCCAGUAACCCCCAAUUUUUACAGGUUGACCUCGGAUCAGGUAGGGAUACCCGCUGAACUUAUGCAUAUCAAUAAGCGGAGGA